RNAcentral lists this unclassified non-coding RNA (391 nucleotides) under soil metagenome. Its description in RNAcentral is "partial contains 5.8S ribosomal RNA, internal transcribed spacer 2, and large subunit ribosomal RNA". The stretch from base 1 to 122 matches the Rfam family "5.8S ribosomal RNA", at positions 35 to 154 of the family's 154-position model. The record is from RNAcentral.
GAUGAAGAACGCAGCGAAAUGCGAUACUUGGUGUGAAUUGCAGAAUCCCGUGAACCAUCGAGUCUUUGAACGCAAGUUGCGCCCGAAGCCAUUAGGCCGAGGGCACGCCUGCCUGGGCGUCACACGUCGUUGCCCCCCCAUCUACUCCUUCGGGAUUGCGGGGGGCGGAUGAUGGACUCUCGUGCGCCUCGUCGCGCGGUUGGCCUAAAUGCCAAGUCCUCGGCGACGCACGCCACGACAAUCGGUGGUUGCGAAACCUCGGUUGCCUGUCGUGUGCGGUCGUCGCGCAUCGAGGGCUCGAAAAAAUUGCCGGGCUUCGGCUCGACUUUCAACGCGACCCCAGGUCAGGCGGGGUUACCCGCUGAAUUUAAGCAUAUCAAUAAGCGGAGGA